This 439-nucleotide ribosomal RNA is filed under the name uncultured bacterium. Its description in RNAcentral is "partial 16S ribosomal RNA". It matches the Rfam family "Bacterial small subunit ribosomal RNA", at positions 339 to 795 of the family's 1533-position model. The record is from RNAcentral.
CUACGGGCCGCUCCAGUGGGGAAUAUUGCACAAUGGACGAAAGUCUGAUGCAGCAACGCCGCGUGGAGGAUGACACAUUUCGGUGCGUAAACUCCUUUUAUAUAAGAAGAUAAUGACGGUAUUAUAUGAAUAAGCACCGGCUAACUCCGUGCCAGCAGCCGCGGUAAUACGGGGGGUGCAAGCGUUACUCGGAAUCACUGGGCGUAAAGCGCAUGUAGGCGGACUUGUAAGUUGGAAGUGAAAUCCUAUGGCUCAACCAUAGAACUGCUUCCAAAACUGCUUGUCUAGAAUAUGGGAGAGGUAGAUGGAAUUUCUGGUGUAGGGGUAAAAUCCGUAGAGAUCAGAAGGAAUACCGAUUGCGAAGGCGAUCUACUGGAACAUUAUUGACGCUCAGAUGCGAAAGCGUGGGGAGCAAACAGGAUUAGAUACCCUCGUAGUC